Molecule: small RNA, 127 nt
Filed under: Marmota monax (woodchuck)
Lineage: Eukaryota; Metazoa; Chordata; Mammalia; Rodentia; Sciuridae
Source: RNAcentral
GCCAGGCAGGGUAGCCCAUGCCUGUAAUCUCAGCAACUCGGGAGGCUGAGGCAGGAGGAUUAUGAGUUCAAACCCAGCCUCAGCAACUUAGCUAGAUCCUAAGCAACUCAGUGAGAUCCUGUCUCUA